AGGAAGAACUCGAUGUUGAAUUAUCCUCCUUGCCUCUUGCCUCUCCUUGCCUUGAACUAAGCUAUGAAAACCUUGAUAAUCAAUCCUUGGGCGAGCUGGACCUUCUAUAGGUUAAGUGGAUUUACCCACGAACUUCCAAGUUUACCCUUGAAAUUUACUUUUCCGGAAUUGAGCUAGCGUGGUCGUGCUAAUGGACGUGCUAGUGACCGCGCAUAUGCCCUAUCAUUCUGCCUCGACCAUCUGGGCUAGCAUGGCCGCGCUAGGCCAGGUCUUCAUUUUGUUUCUUCUUUUUCUCGUCUUCCCACGUACUCAGCUCAUAGGGGCUUUUCUUGCUUCAAUUUAGCUUCAAUCACAGCUUUAAGUCCUCAUACGUGCUACUCACUCCUGCAACGUGUGAAAUUCACAAUUAGAGCCAAUUUAUCAUCAUUUAGCUAUAUUAUCACAGUGAAACAUAAUCAAGCUGGGGCAUAAACAAUCUCCAUAUUACAUAAAUCUAGCCUAUUAUUAGCUUCAUUAUACAUUUUUCUUUUUGGUUAAUUCUCAAUGACUUGAAAUGGUUUGAUUUUAGUUUGGGUAUGCCAUUGAUUAGCAGGCAUGUGUUCAUAUUUGGACCUAAAAUAUCGUAAUUCAGAUGUCAUUCGUAAUCUUUUACCUCAUUUAGAUAUCUGUUCCGAACAUUAAUUUUGAGGAUUCAACUAAACAAUUUUUUCUUCAUUGGAGAUUAAGCAGAAUAUAUAUGCAGCAGUACCUAACAAGUGUUUCAGAUAUGCAACAGUCCUGACCAAGAAAUAAUUAGCAGCAGCUGAAACGAUUUACGUGAUGAAGCAGUGAAGGAAACAGAUAAUAAUUUCUCUACACAUGUUUGUUCUUCUACAGUAUGCUGCCGUUAAAAUUAGCAAUGAUUCUAGCUGACAAUGUUUUAUGCUACUUGUGCUAUUGAUGCAUUUGCACAUAUUAAGAUGGAUUCAAAGUUCUUCAUUAGUACCUAUGUUAUCAAGCACUAAAUUCACCGUUAAGGUUUAGUUGAAUGGUUGUUUACUAGUUUAAAAGAUAACAUUUCUGUGCAGGAAAGAGUUGAUGUUAUGAAGGGCUGAGUGUAACUUAAACUUAGUUUACUUCUCAGUACUAAUUGGUGUCAAGUACUUUGGCAAGCUUAUUAAUCCUUUGGUUGAAAAAGUUGCAAAGGUUGUAUGGAGAAUGAUUCUCAGAUCUGAUUUAGGCAUCGCCACCCACUUGUGCAUAUGUCAAACUAGUUUUGCAAUGAGAGUGAGAGAGCGAUGACAAACCUCGGUUAAAGCUUUAUUCCUAUUGUUUAUUACCAGAUUCACUUGAGAGUUAUUUUGCAUUCAGUUUGUUAGAGCUUGGCUAGUAGUAUUAUAGGAGUUUUCAGGAAUCAGCCUUUCCAUAUCUGUCAAUUCAGAGACCCAGGGCGCUGAGAAGGUGCUUUUCUUCACUUGGUGGCAGCGAAAGAGAGAUUUUGACAGCUCAAAACUUGAGGAAAAGGAGGAUUACAUAUAUCAGUUGGUAAGAGUUGGGGCGAAGACUUGGACUGCCACCAUUUAUAGUGAGAUAGUACCUUGCUUGUGAUGGAAAACCUUUAGAUGGUUCGGACUUCAAUGGAUGAUGCCACGCACCGUGAAGGAAGCACUGUUCCCCUAGACAUUUAGAAGAAGAGGAGAAGAUAGAAUGUGUGGGAUGAUGUUGCCCCACUAGAACUCAUGUGGAUUGUAUGGAAGGAACAAGAGAGCUUGAAGGAAUAUUAAAUGAAAUUCAUAUUUGAGGAAUAACCCUUUGUCCCUUAUUUCUUUUCGUGCACCCAUAAGAUUCCAGUUUGUAUAGAAGAUUGGAUGUCUAUCUUAAUGAAUCGUCCCUUUGUAGAUCUUGUACCUUUUGGUAUACCACUUUUAUACAAGAGUUCCCUCCCUAUCAUCAAUGAAAUUAUUUUACCUUAUUUAAAAAACCUUUGUUAUAGGAGUUCUGACCUUAACUUUGUGUGUCCUUAAUUUUGUG
RNAcentral lists this long non-coding RNA (2010 nucleotides) under Nicotiana tabacum (common tobacco). RNAcentral describes it as "long non-coding RNA (NTAB_LNC013577)". The record is from RNAcentral. Lineage: Eukaryota; Viridiplantae; Streptophyta; Magnoliopsida; Solanales; Solanaceae.